AGCUAGGUUGGACUGUUGAAGAAUUAAAACAACAUAUAGGAGAAUUAUUUAAUAUCAAAUCAUCAUGUAUGAGAAUAGUAAUGGAGGAGGGUUACAGGAGGAGAUAUGAUACUUCAGUCCGUGAUAUUAGUAAUGUAGGAGGCACCCUAAGAGAUAUACUCAUUAUUCGUCAAUACAAACAAUGGCUGUAUGUAUCAUCAGAUCCUAAAGAUUAUCAAAAAGAAUAUGAAUAUAGUUUGAUGUACAAAUAUGUUGACUUUCACGUCAACUCAAUACUACUGAAGAUUACACUACCUUUGGCUCCUGGACCUGAAGCCACACCUACUACAACUAAUGUUACUAAAAGAGGAA
Long non-coding RNA from Amphimedon queenslandica, 351 nucleotides. RefSeq lists it as uncharacterized. The record is from RefSeq and is a predicted model, not a curated record. NCBI's taxonomy places the organism in Eukaryota, Metazoa, Porifera, Demospongiae, Haplosclerida, Niphatidae. The transcript has 3 exons.